RNAcentral lists this ribosomal RNA (253 nucleotides) under uncultured bacterium. Its description in RNAcentral is "partial 16S ribosomal RNA". It matches the Rfam family "Bacterial small subunit ribosomal RNA", at positions 524 to 776 of the family's 1533-position model. The record is from RNAcentral.
UACGUAGGGGGCGAGCGUUGUCCGGAUUUAUUGGGCGUAAAGAGCGUGUAGGCGGUUCGGUAAGUCUGUCGUGAAAUCCUGAGGCUCAACCUCGGGCGUGCGAUGGAUACUGCCGGGCUAGAGGGUGGUAGAGGCGAGUGGAAUUCCCGGUGUAGCGGUGAAAUGCGCAGAUAUCGGGAGGAACACCGGUGGCGAAGGCGGCAUCCUGGACCGACACUGACGCUGAGGCGCGAAAGCUAGGGUAGCAAACGGG